AAGGGAGCGCACAUGACAGCCUGUCCGCGGUUGGCAUAAAGCAAAAGGAACCUUAUCCUUAAGGAGGAAGCUUAUUGGAUCAUUUGAAUUAAAGCAAAAGCUUAUCCCUUGUAAUAGUGUAGUUUCCUAAACCCUAGUCUCUAAUGUCGCCUCUCUAUAUAUUGUAAACUCAUGUCAUUAAUCAAAGUAAGCAAGUUAUGAGUCUCUCUUAGUCUUUUAGUCUCUCAAUGGUUCUAUACUAGACUCUUAAUCUCAUUUCAUACUCAAAUCUCUUCUAAAUCACUUCUAGUCUUUCUUAUUCACUCAGAUUACUCUACUCAAUCCUAAAAGUGAUAUGGUAUCAGAGCCAGGUUCAUAGAGAACUUGGUUUCGUUG
This 375-nucleotide long non-coding RNA is filed under the name Brassica rapa (field mustard). RNAcentral describes it as "long non-coding RNA (BRAP_LNC008950)". The record is from RNAcentral. Lineage: Eukaryota; Viridiplantae; Streptophyta; Magnoliopsida; Brassicales; Brassicaceae.